GAUGAAGAACGUAGCGAAAUGCGAUAAGUAAUGUGAAUUGCAGAAUUCAGUGAAUCAUCGAAUCUUUGAACGCACAUUGCGCCCGCCAGUAUUCUGGCGGGCAUGCCUGUUCGAGCGUCAUUUCAACCAUCAAGCCCCCGGCUUGUGUUGGGGACCUGCGGCUGCCGCAGGCCCUGAAAUGCAGUGGCGGGCUCGCUGUCACUCCGAGCGUAGUAGUUACAUCUCGCUCUGGGCGUGCUGCGGGUUCCGGCCGUUAAAAGCCUUAUUUACCCAAGGUUGACCCCGGAUCAGGUAGGAAGACCCGCUGAACUUAAGCAUAUCAAUAAGCGGAGGA
Molecule: unclassified non-coding RNA, 334 nt
Filed under: soil metagenome
Description: partial contains 5.8S ribosomal RNA, internal transcribed spacer 2, and large subunit ribosomal RNA
Rfam family: 5.8S ribosomal RNA (bases 1-120)
Source: RNAcentral